GCUCAGGAUGAACGCUGGCGGCGUGCUUAACACAUGCAAGUCGAACGAUGAACCCGGAGCUUGCUCUGGGGGAUUAGUGGCGAACGGGUGAGUAACACGUGAGCAACCUGCCCCUGACUCUGGGAUAAGCGCUGGAAACGGCGUCUAAUACUGGAUAUGUCCCAUCACCGCAUGGUGUGUGGGUGGAAAGAUUUAUCGGUUGGGGAUGGGCUCGCGGCCUAUCAGCUUGUUGGUGAGGUAAUGGCUCACCAAGGCGUCGACGGGUAGCCGGCCUGAGAGGGUGACCGGCCACACUGGGACUGAGACACGGCCCAGACUCCUACGGGAGGCAGCAGUGGGG
Molecule: ribosomal RNA, 340 nt
Filed under: Microbacteriaceae bacterium ACTS123
Lineage: Bacteria; Bacillati; Actinomycetota; Actinomycetes; Micrococcales; Microbacteriaceae
Description: bacterial SSU rRNA
Rfam family: Bacterial small subunit ribosomal RNA
Source: RNAcentral